CCUGGUAGUCCACGCCGUAAACGAUGUCGACUUGGAGGUUGUGCCCUUGAGGCGUGGCUUCCGGAGCUAACGCGUUAAGUCGACCGCCUGGGGAGUACGGCCGCAAGGUUAAAACUCAAAUGAAUUGACGGGGGCCCGCACAAGCGGUGGAGCAUGUGGUUUAAUUCGAUGCAACGCGAAGAACCUUACCUGGUCUUGACAUCCACGGAAGUUUUCAGAGAUGAGAAUGUGCCUUCGGGAACCGUGAGACAGGUGCUGCAUGGCUGUCGUCAGCUCGUGUUGUGAAAUGUUGGGUUAAGUCCCGCAACGAGCGCAACCCUUAUCCUUUGUUGCCAGCGGUCCGGCCGGGAACUCAAAGGAGACUGCCAGUGAUAAACUGGAGGAAGGUGGGGAUGACGUCAAGUCAUCAUGGCCCUUACGACCAGGGCUACACACGUGCUACAAUGGCGCAUACAAAGAGAAGCGACCUCGCGAGAGCAAGCGGACCUCAUAAAGUGCGUCGUAGUCCGGAUUGGAGUCUGCAACUCGACUCCAUGAAGUCGGAAUCGCUAGUAAUCGUGGAUCAGAAUGCCACGGUGAAUACGUUCCCGGGCCUUGUACACACCGCCCGUCACACCAUGGGAGUGGGUUGCAAAAGAAGUAGGUAGCUUAACCUUCGGGAGGGCGCUUACCACUUUGUGAUUCAUGACUGGGGUGAAGUCGUAACAAGGUAACCGUAGGGGAACCUGCGGUUG
This 734-nucleotide ribosomal RNA is filed under the name Escherichia albertii. Its description in RNAcentral is "bacterial SSU rRNA". It matches the Rfam family "Bacterial small subunit ribosomal RNA", at positions 786 to 1520 of the family's 1533-position model. The record is from RNAcentral. Lineage: Bacteria; Pseudomonadati; Pseudomonadota; Gammaproteobacteria; Enterobacterales; Enterobacteriaceae.